AAAAUAUUAGUGUCUCUCCUCCUUGCCAGCGCGUUCACCCGACUCUCCCCUGUGUAAUGAAGCUUGAUCCACAUUUCGCUUAACUGCCACUUUAAUAUCUCAGAUCGGUUACCGACCACGCUAUGACUCUUAACCUUAAUGUAGGGUUAUGGGCUGAAACCUGAUCCGGGGUCGGCAAUUAGCGUGAUCACAUACUGCCAGUAAUUGGUCCGGUAUGCUAAUGCGGCGUGUGUCUUUUUCUGCCUCCACACACAUAAAGGUGAGAGCGGCUCGAGUUGAGUUCUGCUGCAGAUCCGAUCAGCUCUCUCUGGCCUGCAGGUCACUUUAAUCAUCCGCUAGCCUGUUUGUCCUUUAUGUAAAUAGGGUUUGUUCGGCGUCUGAGGAGAAUGGGAUGGCACGUGUGAAACAGGGUGAUGGUGCUUUAUUCUGCACUCCACUUCCAAUUGGCAAGGAUACACCGAAGAUCUCCUAUCAAAACAAAAACAAAGAAACCGUCAAACUUGCCAGAGGGAUCACUAUUGCACUCUGUCCCAGUUCCACCAAAGGAUUUUGACACGAUUUCAAGGAAAUAAUAACACAGCACGAGCCACCUUGGAGAUUGGCAGAUGGACCAGCCUGAGCCACCGGCAUGGGUGGAGGUCGAUGUGGAUUUGGGUUUUGCCCUCUUCUUUCUUUUUCUCCUCUGCCUGUUCUUGUUUGGCACCAUCGUGCGUUGUGCUCAAACCGUUGUGGAUCCGUACGGAGCAAUUUCCACCUCCACCUAUCAGGAGGAGCAGAUUAACAAUAACUGACAUCUGAUCUCGCCAGUCCAACGUAUAACUGGAUGAAACACAAAAGGAUUUUAUAAAAACUCGAUGCAUUAUGCAGUGACGAACAAUUGGCAGAUGACUUACAUUCAUCGCAAGUCAUUUUAAACAGGAAAUGAUGUCUGUGUUAUGCCAGAAAUUAAUACAAUGCUAAUAAAGUUGUUAUAGAGG
Molecule: non-coding RNA, 977 nt
Organism: Danio rerio (zebrafish)
Lineage: Eukaryota; Metazoa; Chordata; Actinopteri; Cypriniformes; Danionidae
Source: RefSeq, a predicted model, not a curated record